Molecule: unclassified non-coding RNA, 336 nt
Filed under: soil metagenome
Description: partial contains 5.8S ribosomal RNA, internal transcribed spacer 2, and large subunit ribosomal RNA
Rfam family: 5.8S ribosomal RNA (bases 1-120)
Source: RNAcentral
GAUGAAGAACGCAGCGAAAUGCGAUAAGUAGUGUGAAUUGCAGAAUUCAGUGAAUCAUCGAAUCUUUGAACGCACAUUGCGCCCCUUGGUACUCCAUGGGGCAUGCCUGUUCGAGCGUCAUUUGUACCUUCAAGCUUUGCUUGGUGUUGGGUGUUUGUCUCGCCUUUGCGUGUAGACUCGCCUUAAAAUAAUUGGCAGCCGGCGUAUUGAUUUCGGAGCGCAGUACAUCUCGCGCUUUGCACUCAUAACGACAGCGUCCAAAAGUACAUUUUACACUCUUGACCUCGGAUCAGGUAGGGAUACCCGCUGAACUUAAGCAUAUCAAUAAGCGGAGGA